AGUGAACGCUGGCGGUAUGCCUAACACAUGCAAGUCGAACGGCAGCACAGUAAUAGCUUUCUCUUACGGGUGGCGAGUGGCGGACGGGUGAGGAAUACAUCGGAAUCUACUUUUUCGUGGGGGAUAACGGAGGGAAACUUACGCUAAUACCGCAUACGACCUACGGGGGGAAGCAGAGGAUCUUCGGCCCUUGCGCGGUUGAAUGAGCCGAUGGCGGGUUAGCUAGUUGGCGGGGUAAAGGCCCACCAAGGCGACGAUCCGUAGCUGGUCUGAGAGGAUGAUCAGCCACACUGGAACUGAGACACGGCCCAGACUCCUACGGGAGGCAGCAGUGGGGAAUAUUGGACAAUGGGGGCAAGCCUGAUCCAGCCAUACCGCGUGGGUGAAGAAGGCCUUCGGGUUGUAAAGCCCUUUUGUUGGGAAAGAAAAGCAGCAGGUUAAUACCCCGCUGUUCUGACGGUACCGAAAGAAUAAGCACCGGCUAACUUCGUG
This 492-nucleotide ribosomal RNA is filed under the name uncultured bacterium. RNAcentral's name for it is "partial 16S ribosomal RNA". It matches the Rfam family "Bacterial small subunit ribosomal RNA", at positions 29 to 507 of the family's 1533-position model. The record is from RNAcentral.